GGCUGAUGGACAUGGUCAGACUUCUCACCUUCUGAUGGCUUUUGUCAGGUGUUCCAGCAUCUCUUAAGUGCAGCAUCUUUGGGACUUCGUGAAGAGGAGGAAUUAUGCUGGUGAACAGAGCUGGUGGGAUUUACCUAUCGACAUAGACAAUGAGCUGUUCGAAGACACGAGGAUGUGGGAUGUAUCCUGUCGCAGCGUCUGGUAGAAGGGAGUCCUAAGGGACAUACGAAGAAUCUAGAAGUAGCCUGUUCCCUGAUAGUUUUUUAAAUGCGGUGACCCCCAUCAAGGACUUCUGCUUCAGCAAUAUACUUCCAUCACUAAAGAUGCUGCUAAGAAUAUAUAGUUGGCUAGAUUACUAUUGCCAGUGAUGGAAUAUUCAAAAUCUAAUCAGUUUUCAGUUCAAGGAAAUAACCGCUAAUAAA
Long non-coding RNA from Orcinus orca (killer whale), 422 nucleotides. RefSeq lists it as uncharacterized. The transcript is spliced from 3 exons. The record is from RefSeq and is a predicted model, not a curated record. Lineage: Eukaryota; Metazoa; Chordata; Mammalia; Artiodactyla; Delphinidae.